UGACCGCGGAUCAGGUGAGGAUACCGCCUGAAUUUAA
This 37-nucleotide ribosomal RNA is filed under the name Peltigera hymenina. RNAcentral's name for it is "partial 28S ribosomal RNA". Lineage: Eukaryota; Fungi; Ascomycota; Lecanoromycetes; Peltigerales; Peltigeraceae. The record is from RNAcentral.